RNAcentral lists this long non-coding RNA (275 nucleotides) under Carica papaya (papaya). Its description in RNAcentral is "long non-coding RNA (CPAP_LNC003210)". Lineage: Eukaryota; Viridiplantae; Streptophyta; Magnoliopsida; Brassicales; Caricaceae. The record is from RNAcentral.
UAAGAAAUUUAAUUUUAAACCCACCCAUGAAAAAAUUGAAUUGAAAGAACCGGCCAAUUGGCCAGAAAACGCCGCCGAAGUCCAACGGCGCCGUGGCAGGAAAUUCACAAAUUGCCUCCGAUUAGGCCCUUCCCGAUUUCUGUUUCGCGUAAUUUUUCCACCGUUGUGAUCACCGUUUCCUUCUCUACAGGUUAACCGGAGCAAAAUGCCCAAUCGCAAUGUGAGCCAGAGGAGCUGCCGCACCGAAGAGCCCCACCACCGAUGAGUUUCAGUUU